Molecule: ribosomal RNA, 465 nt
Filed under: uncultured bacterium
Lineage: Bacteria
Description: partial 16S ribosomal RNA
Rfam family: Bacterial small subunit ribosomal RNA
Source: RNAcentral
GACGAACGCUGGCGGCGUGCUUAACACAUGCAAGUCGUACGGUAAGGCCCUUUCGGGUGUACACGAGUGGCGAACGGUUGAGUAACACGUGAGUAACCUUCCCACUACUUUUGUAUAACGCUAGGAAACUGGUGCUAAUACUGGAUAUGUGCUCCUGCUGCAUCGUGGGGGUUGGAAAGCUCCGGCGGUGGUGAAUGAUCUGGCGGGCUAUCAGCUUGUUGGGGGGGUAGUGGGCUACCAAGGCGGCGACGGGACGCCGGCCAGAGGGGGUGACCGGCGAUAUUGAGACUGAGGGAAGGCACAGACUGGGAAGGGAGGCAGAAGGGGGGAAGAUUGAACAAGGGGCGCAAGGCGGAUGCAGCAGGGCCGCGUGCGGGAUGACGGCCUUCGGGUGGUAAAACGCUAUCAGCAGGGACGAAGGUUGUUGUGACGGUACCUGAAGAAGAAGCACCGGCUAACUACGUG